Molecule: ribosomal RNA, 580 nt
Filed under: Capnocytophaga sp. 58
Lineage: Bacteria; Pseudomonadati; Bacteroidota; Flavobacteriia; Flavobacteriales; Flavobacteriaceae
Description: bacterial SSU rRNA
Rfam family: Bacterial small subunit ribosomal RNA
Source: RNAcentral
UAAGGGUCAUGAGAUGGAGAUCCUUCACACAGGUAUUGAGACAGGGACCAGACUCUUACGGGAGGCAGCAAUGAGGAAUAUUGGUCAAUGGUCGGAAGACUGAACCAGCCAUGCCGCGUGCAGGAAGACGGCCUUAUGGGUUGUAAACUGCUUUUGCAAGGGAAGAAUAAGCUCUACGAGUAGAGUGAUGACGGUACUUUGCGAAUAAGCAUCGGCUAACUCCGUGCCAGCAGCCGCGGUAAUACGGAGGAUGCGAGCGUUAUCCGGAAUCAUUGGGUUUAAAGGGUCUGUAGGCGGGUUGUUAAGUCAGGGGUGAAUGUUUGCGGCUUAACCGUAAAAUUGCCUUUGAUACUGGCUAUCUUGAAUUAUUGUGAAGUUGUUAGAAUGUGUAGUGUAGCGGUGAAAUGCAUAGAUAUUACACAGAAUACCGAUUGCGAAGGCAGAUGACUAACAAUAGAUUGACGCUGAGAGACGAAAGCGUGGGGAGAAAACAGGAUUAGAUACCCUGGUAGUCCACGCUGUAAACGAUAGAGGCUAGCUGUUUGGCAUUAUAGUUGAGUGGCUAAGCGAAAGUGAUAAG